This is a long non-coding RNA of Centruroides sculpturatus (bark scorpion), 1220 nucleotides long. RefSeq lists it as uncharacterized. The transcript has 2 exons. NCBI's taxonomy places the organism in Eukaryota, Metazoa, Arthropoda, Arachnida, Scorpiones, Buthidae. The record is from RefSeq and is a predicted model, not a curated record.
AAACCUUGGCCGUAAAAGCUUUUAAUCACGUGACCAUGAUAUUUUAGGCCCGAGCGGUGUUCAGGUCGUAAAACCAGCGUAAAAGCGAGUUGAGCAGUGUUCAAAUUUCGAGGCGAAUACGGCCGUAAAACGGUACUAUCCAUCAAUCAGAAGUUAGUGAAAUCUAGGUCAUUGUGAUGGUGCGAAAAUGGCGGAAAACGAGCUUUUGUGUACGAUCCCUCGUGGCUGCUCUAGAAUUGAUCUGGAAAGAAUUAUCGAAAACAUCCGAAAGUGUUCGUGUAUCUACGACAAGAAGUAUCCCGAUUAUAAUAAUGGACGCCUAAAACACGCCAUAUGGGAAAAAAUCCUUCAAUUUAGCCCGGAUUCGAUCCCAAAUCCUCCAGACAGGUGGGCCAAGACCUCUACUGCCACGACCAUCACCCUUUUAAUCAUUAUUACACAGGGACUAAUUCAAAAAUUAAAAAUAUAAAAUUAAUCAUUAAAAUUUCUAUCUACUUCAAUUAACGCGUAACAAUGAAUCUCAACAAUUGAUCUUUUCAUUGUUUUGCUCUUUUGUUGCUAAGAGUGCGAUUUCGAGUGAUUGAAAAAUGUUUUUUGAUUCUGGCCAUUAUCGACCCUUGCGUCCACCCUUGGGAAAAUUGAUCAAAUUGAAAUUCGUUUGAUUCUCGGCAAUUCUCAUCAUUCUCAGCGGUAGGUGUUAUAUAACAAUUAUUAUGGUUGUUGAAAUACUGUAUAUAAAUGAGGUUUGCUUCCAAAAUCCGGGCAGGCAAAGCCGCAGGUAACAGCUAGUUAAUUCAUAAAAGUAGCUUAAAUAUUUCACAUAAAAAAUUUUAUAAAUAAGCAUAUUCAUUGUUUCGAUCUACAUUGUUAAAGAAACAAUAUUUAUCGGAAGACAAUGAAAAAUAUUGUUUCGGUAUUGUAAAAGAUUUACUUGGCAAUUAUUUCCGAGUCUAAUCGUUUGGACUUUCGCAAGGCUAUGGACUUUCUAUUAGUACAAUGGUUGAGUGCCCAGGAGCACGCCGUGCACUUCCGUGGGACCCGGGAACUCAACCGUUGUAGCAAUUGAAAGUCUAUAUCCUUGCGAAUUCCCAAACGAUAGAUUUGGAAAUCAUCGCUAAAUAAAGCUCUUACAAUACAUACACUUCGCGCGCGAUCCAGUUUUUCUCUCUACUUGCUACGCUGUCUAGCAAGUAGGGUUGGUUUCUGGAAACAAAAAAAAA